CUAAAUAAAGGGCCUGCCCCAACACUAUAAACUCUAGUGUUGUUAACUUUCGUGAGCCAGAGCAUAAAAAAACCGAUUACCAUCGAGGCUAGAUCUCCGAUAGGUCUGCGCACCCUCAAGAAUUCGAUGAACCGAUACUAUCGCUAGUGGUUAUCCCAGCUCUAAUUGACGCCAAGAAAUUAUACAUUACAUUGAUUUUGAAAAAUAUGUUAAACACUUCGGAGCAAUAGUAAACUGGUCUUAUCGGGAAACACAGUGUGCAAAACUCAAUUUCGACGGACGGAACGGAAAGGCUCGGGAAAUCACAUCACAAUAAGUCAUGCCACGGGGAAAACGCCGAGCUGCGGAUACUAUUAGUGACAACAUGGAUCAUGGUCAACCGAAGAGGGCCCGAACCAGCUACACCAGCAUACCCACACAACAGAGCAGCAGACGCCAUAUAAGAGCGGAGGAUGGCUUCAGUCAAAAACGUUGUUUGACAUGGUUCCAGGAAUACACCACUCCAGAUGAGCCAGAGACAUUAGGUCCCGAUGGCAUGGAGAAAUUCUGCGAGGAUAUCGGCGUGGAGCCUGAGAACAUUGUGAUGCUGGUGCUGGCCUACAAAAUGGGAGCCACCCAGAUGGGCUUCUUUAGCCAGCAGGAGUGGCUGAAGGGCCUCACAGAACUGGACUGCGAUUCGGCAGCGAAAAUGGUUGUGAAACUGGACUAUCUGCGCAGCAUACUCAACGAUCCCAACUCCUUUAAAAGCAUAUACAGAUACGCCUACGACUUUGCCAAGGACUCGGAUCAACGGUGUAUGGAUAUUGUCACUGCCAAAGCCAUGCUCCAACUCCUUCUGGGCAAGCACUGGCCUCUGUAUCCGCAGUUCGCACAGUUUCUGGAGCAGUCGAAGUACAAGGCGAUCAACAAGGAUCAGUGGUGUAAUAUUCUAGAGUUCUCGCGCACCAUCUGCAUUGAUUUAUCAAAUUACGACAUUGAUGGGGCAUGGCCCGUCAUGCUGGAUGAGUUUGUGGAAUGGCUGCGCCUGCAGCGGAGCCAGGUCACCUCGACUUCCGGGUCUAGCUGAGAGAAGCUUCACCGAGUCGCCUAUUUCUAGUUCAACUUUGGGAGCUCAGUGCGGAGGAGUUCGCGGAGGAGGAGAUGGGAUGCGAUGGGAAUGCGGAUAGGAUGAGAUCGGCGGAUAUAUAAGACACAACCACAGGACACUCACAUCCACACCCACGACCACAAACACAACCACAACCACACACUCACCCACACAGAAACACAAGGCAUUUUGGAGAGACUGCGUACACUGGCAAAGCAACCAACUAUGAAACUAAACUAUUGAUAAUAUAUUUAAUGCCCUCCCAUUGAAAAACAAAAAAAUCGAAAAGAAAAUGAGAAACAAGAAAAAGAACAGCAACAAGAGCCAAAAUGGGGGCAGCUUGUAAAAAGUAAACCCAGAAAAUGAAACGAUGGCAAUAACCAAGAGAUCCCCAAUAGACCUAAUCUAGAACAUACAAUUGAACUCAAGCGACCCCUUCAAGAUAUCAGCAAGCAUAGUCAAAAUCUCAACGAAAUUCAACACCAAUACUGGGGAAUUUGUAGUCGUUAUUAAAUCAAUGUAGAAAAAAAACAAAACAUUUGGGGACUAUUUAAUAAAAUUAUUAAGUAAAGAUGUC
This is an RNA transcript of Drosophila subpulchrella, 1664 nucleotides long. It is a transcript of the gene named DCN1-like protein 4, with no coding region annotated. NCBI's taxonomy places the organism in Eukaryota, Metazoa, Arthropoda, Insecta, Diptera, Drosophilidae. The transcript has 8 exons. The record is from RefSeq and is a predicted model, not a curated record.